This 1356-nucleotide long non-coding RNA is filed under the name Bos grunniens (domestic yak). Its description in RNAcentral is "lncRNA (ENSBGRG00000016677.1)". Lineage: Eukaryota; Metazoa; Chordata; Mammalia; Artiodactyla; Bovidae. The record is from RNAcentral.
AUGUCGGCUUCCCUGGUUAGUGUUGGAGCUCUGUCGAAUGUCACCCAGCGUCUCGACCUGCCGUUGGUUUUCCCCCGUGGCUCUCAACUCCAGUCAAGUCCAAUUUCUCUGGGAGAGAAACUGGCCAACUUCUCAACCCAUUCGUACCCAAAGACGACCCUGAACCAUGUGCUGUGGGCAGUAAUGUGCCACCUCCGUGCCGCUUUAGCCUCGUCGAUAUCCUCCCGUGGAGUGUUUCCGAGGGUGAAUCGGUCCGUCACUCAGUUGGCCCGGAAGAAGGAUGCCAGCGAUAUUCCAGGAUGUUGCGGCACGUGGUCAAGACUUCCAAGCGCGCGGUGCUUCCCGGGUGCGGGGGAAGCGGCGCCCUCCCCGACCUCGGCGCCCUCGUCCCCAGCCCCGACCCGGGGUCAGGGCGCCUUGUCCGCCGCCGGCUCGGCACGCAGGCGCCCAGCGGCGCAGCGCGCGCAGCGAGCAGGCGAGGCCAGGGGCGGCGGCGCCGUGCAGCUGGCGCUCGUGGCGGCGGAUCUGAACCUUGUGGCGGAAACGCUCGCCGCAGUCCUCGCAGGCAUAGGGCCGCUCGCCAGAGUGCGUGCGGCGGUGGCGCAGCAGGUUGGAAGAGACGCUGAAGCGCUUGCCGCAGUCGCCGCAGGCGUAGGGCCGCUCGCCCGUGUGCGUGCGCUGGUGCUGCACGAGUGCCGAGCUCUCGCUGAAGCGCUUGGCGCAGUACGGGCACGCGUAGGGCUUCUCGCCUGUGUGGAUGCGCUGGUGCGUCACCAGGUUCGAGUGCUGCGAGAAGCUCUUGCCGCAUUCGCCGCAGCGGUGCGGCCGCUCGCCCGUGUGUGUGGCCUGGUGCCGCACCAGGUCCGUGCUGCGGCUGAAGCCCUUGCCGCACUCCCGCAGAUGGUCGGCGGUCCCAGGCGCGCCCGCGCCGCCCGGGCGGCGGGCAGCGUCAGGGCGCGCCGCUCGGCGGGCCCGGGACAGCCACUAUGGAGGGCGCCGACACGGCCGCUGGCAGCACCAUCAGCUCCUGCAGCACCACGUAGCCCGGAGGCGCCACCACCACCGCGGCAGGCGCCCCCGCAGCGGCCGGCACCAGCUCCAGCUGCAGCUCGGGCGGCACAGGGGUCAGCUCCAGCUGCAGCUCAGGCGGGUGUACCCCAGGCUCCACCGGUGUCAGCUCCAGCUGCACCUCCGGCGGCUGCGCCAGCGGCUGCGCCAGCUGCUGCUCCAGCUGCUUCUCCAGCUGCUGCAACUGCUCCUGCAGUUGGAGCUGCAGCUGCCGCUGCUCCUGCUGCCGCUCCAGCUCCUGCCGCUGCCGCUCCAGCUCCUGAUCAGACUCCACGUCCACCGGCAUGA